AAGAGCAGCUGUAAAACUAACUCGUGACGUCACACGAUAACCUUUAACAAUAACAACAAACAUGACGAGCACGUGCCCAGCCUUUGGGUGUUGAUCCCAGUUUAAAGACCAGAUAUAAAUUUCUAUUACGUUCCGAAGGAUAAAGAACUGAGAAGAGGAUGGAUUCACUCACGCAAGAGGAAAGACUAUAAAUACUAAAAAUGCCCAAAUUUGCAAUUGGCAUUUUGAGGCCCGUGUUUGAUAACUUGAAAUAUAAACUGCAGGGACUGCCAGUACCAAGAAGAGUUGUAAGGAUUAACAAUAGAGCAAUACCAACAUUACAAUGAAGCUUUUGGGAAUUUCAACUUUACCAUCACAGCUGAAAAUGAUCAACUGGAGCAUAGAACAAGAGCUACCACUACCACCACCAUCCAAGUAUUUGUCAGUCUUACUACUGUACUGAAUGACUAUUCAUUCAUGGACAUCUUUUAAUCAUAAACAGUAAUGUUGUAUUGUGUAUAUUAAAUGUUUUUUGGUUGUUACAGGUGAAUUAAAGACUAAACCUUGGGAAAUUGAACUGCACCAUCAUAACUGAAAUUUAUAACUGGAGCUGCCAGUGUAGAACUGUAACAUAAUCUGGUACAUUAAAGAAAGUGAACACCUCCAGGACCUGCCAAAAGUGUGCAAGCACAGGAGUACUGUACAAACAAGGGAAGUGGAGCCGAUCCAGGAUGAUGAGCACACCAGGUGUCACGUGGGCACAGUUAACAGCAUCAGGUGCGGCGUGAUGGACUGCUGCAACACAUAUUCCUGAUUUGUAGAACUGGUGGGUCUUAAGUCUUCAGAUUGUGUGCUGUGUAUCGUGUCCUGCUGUACAAGCUUUACAAAUGUAUACAUGAUGGAACACUGUGACUACAACACCACACUGUGCCACACUGACCUACAUUACACCGAGAGUGUACUCUUCAUGUACAAAUUUUGCCAGCCCACAUACACAAGUACUCCUGGCCACUGGUUGAAGCAAAGCCUUAUCCAGCACUCAUGAAAUUGGCUAUCAACACAAUAAAUAAUAACAAAGUUGUGCAUCAACACUUUAAAUAGUACUAAAAUCUAUUUUUCACAGGAAAUAAUCAUCUGUAUAGACUGCACUUUCUAUUAAAAACACAAACAAACAAAACCAUGCAAACUAGUCUAUGUUACAUCUGCAAGCUCAAAGUCAAAUUAGUUCCCAAGAAUGAAUAUAGAGUUCAAAUUAUAUUAUUUACAAUAAAUACAUUUUUAUAAGUCCAUAAAUUUUCGUAUGGAUAAUUCCAGCUUACUACACAAUACUUUACAACAUAAGCAGUGGUAAGCAAUUUGUUAUUAUGUUACAUAAACAAACUGACGAUCACUUUUCCAUCAUGGCCUUGGAUACAAAAGCUUUUUUUUUAACAUAAAUUUUCCUGUACACACAUACUUACAUGUACGUGAAUUAGGACUCUCCUGUUAAUUCUCACUGUACUGUACUGUACUGUACAGUAUAUUGAAAUGAAAUUCCCAUUAAACUGGAUCAAGUAAGAUCUGUUUCACAACAUCUUGCCUUUUCUUCUUUUUGUGUAAAUAUUAGCCUCUUAUAUCAUUAUUCUCAUUUAAAAUGGAAAGUAAAAUAAAUUAAAUAGGGUUAGGGAGAACCAAAAGUUCACUUGAAUGGAGACAGAAUGGAAGAAGUGUGAUGCUUCAAACAUCCAGGAAUGGAUGUAUCAGCGAAUGGAAGAACGGGAGACAAACUGAACCACAGAACAGAAGGAAAUUAAUCAAGAGAUGUAUUAAAAAAGUGUGCAGAGCCAGAGGACUGUGUGAAGGGAGGCAAAGUUUGGGAUUUAUAAAGAAACACUGAACCGACAUUACCAACCAUGGACUCCAGAUGGAAGAUGAAACACCAAAUUGAAAUGAACAAACUGACGCACUUGAGAUCAAUACUGUAUGUGCAGUGAAAAGUUGGGGACAAAAAUAUCCAGGAAGCAAGUACAGUAUAAGUGAGUGAAUGGAAAAUGUACUGAUAGAUGGUGUUGGCUUGUGUCAGACACCAGGAGCUAUACAAGAAAAAAAACUUGUCAAAAUCUGUCAAACAUUACUAUAGAAAUUCUCAAGUAGGGUAUAUGAUCAACUAUCAACACUUUGCAAGGGAAAAAACAGGAAGAAUUCACACCAAAAAUAAAAAGACAAACUUAA
This is a long non-coding RNA of Homarus americanus (American lobster), 2190 nucleotides long. RefSeq lists it as uncharacterized. The transcript is spliced from 3 exons. The record is from RefSeq and is a predicted model, not a curated record. NCBI's taxonomy places the organism in Eukaryota, Metazoa, Arthropoda, Malacostraca, Decapoda, Nephropidae.